GACGAACGCUGGCGGCGUGCUUAACACAUGCAAGUCGAACGGAAAGGCCCUGCUUUUGUGUGGUGCUCGAGUGGCGAACGGGUGAGUAACACGUGAGUAACCUGCCCUUGACUUUGGGAUAACUUCAGGAAACUGGGGCUAAUACCGGAUAGGAGCUCCUGCUGCAUGGUGGUGGUUGGAAAGUUUCGGCGGUUGGGGAUGGACUCGCGGCUUAUCCGCUUGUUGGUGGGGUAGUGGCUUACCAAGGCUUUGACGGGUAGCCGGCCUGAGAGGGUGACCGGCCACAUUGGGACUGAGAUACGGCCCAGACUCCUACGGGAGGCAGCAGUGGGGAAUAUUGCACAAUGGGCGGAAGCCUGAUGCAGCAACGCCGCGUGCGGGAUGACGGCCUUCGGGUUGUAAACCGCGUUCGCCUGUGACGAAGCGUGAGUGACGGUAAUGGGUAAAGAAGCACCGGCUAACUACGUGC
Molecule: ribosomal RNA, 469 nt
Filed under: uncultured bacterium
Lineage: Bacteria
Description: partial 16S ribosomal RNA
Rfam family: Bacterial small subunit ribosomal RNA
Source: RNAcentral